GGGUGUUUGAUCUAGUAGUAUGAUUUUUGUUUCGGGUGCAAGAGACUGUUAGUUCAAUUUUCACAACACCCC
RNAcentral lists this transfer RNA (72 nucleotides) under Ipomoea nil (Japanese morning glory). It matches the Rfam family "tRNA". Rfam says of the family: Transfer RNA (tRNA) molecules are approximately 80 nucleotides in length. Their secondary structure includes four short double-helical elements and three loops (D, anti-codon, and T loops). The record is from Rfam by way of RNAcentral. Lineage: Eukaryota; Viridiplantae; Streptophyta; Magnoliopsida; Solanales; Convolvulaceae.